CUGUAAUCAAGGACCAAGCGAACUGCGGGAGGCAGGGUUGCUCCUGAGAGCAAACAGUGACCUAGUUAACCUGGCGACAGGCGUGAAAGGAAGUCUGGGUUUCCAAUCAAAAAUCGGGAGGGAAGGAAAAAAGAGUGAAUCAAUUCUUGCGAAAAGUCUCUGCGCACUUACUAGAAAGCACGCGGCCAGGAAUCAUGCAGGGCGCCUGCACGCAUAUUAUUAUUUAAAUAAAGCUGUCCCUCAGCACAAACAGCCCGCAAGGUCACGGAAACUCCUCCAGUCCCAUCCCCGGGCUCGGUCCUCCCACGAAUCUCCCCCUCCUCCCACGUCCCCGCCCCAGGCGCAUGCGCCCUCCCUCUCCCCAACCCACCCCAGUCCGGCCUCCGCCAGUGACGUCACCGCAAGGGCGGAAGGGAAGCUAAAGUCGUUACCAUGGUGACCGCGACACACUCAGAAACGUCUACUAGUGACGGUCAAGCCACCUACAACCGGUCCCAAAGCCGCAAACGAGUCAGGCAUCGUGGUAGGACCUGGCGAGUGGGGCCGGGGAGAGCGGGACGCCUGGAUCGGGAACUUGUCGCAUUCACAUUGGCUGCUAGGAGGCCUCGGCGACCACUUCCGGAUCCGGGGCGGGGGUCGCAACUCCCAGCCCUUGCUCAGAGGGCUGAACUAGAAUUCCCAGAAGCCUCUGCGGCCGCCUUCCUGCUCCUUCACUCCUGCUUCCCCCACAAAUAACACUUCUUCUUUAGGCAUUGAAGACUGUUCCUUUCUGGGUGAAGGAGAAUCACGUAGCAAUUGGGAGCAAGAUGCAUCCAUGUAACCCAGUACUGGAGGUCAAGAUGGAGACAAUCUCCACAGCCACCAUGGCCUUUCCCUGAGUGCUACUAUAACUCAGGAGGAAAGCCACCCAGAUACUGCAGAACACCAACAUGCUGAAGGCAAACCAAAGAGAAGAAAGACUUUGUGCUUGAGAGUUGAAAAUGAGACCACCUUGCCAUGUCAAUUCAGGUCUCUUAAAGUCUUCCCUUGCAGGAGAAGAGGGAAGUGAAAAGAUCUUCUUGUGAACAGGGUCUGGUGUGGACCUCCAGCAAACUCCAACAGAUUAAUUCAUUGACAGAAUGGGAUUGUCUUGUGAAAGGGAAAUAUCUUGGAUCCCUUCAAGCUGGGAACCCCUCAGGGCAAAUCUGCCUACUUCUGUCAAUUCAUCAAUCUCAUUCUCCGUCCAGUUUUGUGCCCUUGCUGGAGAGGAGUUGCCAUCAUUUGUCAUACACAAGUAUCAAUAGCCAAAUUGAUCACGCAAAAGAAACGAUAUCAGAGAUUGAAGAUCAACUUACUAAAAUAAGGCAUGAAGAAAAGAUUAGAGAAAAAAGAAUGAAAAGGAACUAACAAAGCC
RNAcentral lists this long non-coding RNA (1393 nucleotides) under Homo sapiens (human). Its description in RNAcentral is "non-protein coding lnc-EDDM13-5:1". The record is from RNAcentral. Lineage: Eukaryota; Metazoa; Chordata; Mammalia; Primates; Hominidae.